GGGCUGUGACGAAGAAAUGUCAUGCACCACUCUGAUAUCGAUUAUAUCGAUCAGUGUUGAUAAAUUGACUCAAACCCAUAUAAUAUCUGAGCCC
Small nucleolar RNA from Macadamia integrifolia, 94 nucleotides. RefSeq annotates it as small nucleolar RNA Z221/R21b. The record is from RefSeq and is a predicted model, not a curated record. NCBI's taxonomy places the organism in Eukaryota, Viridiplantae, Streptophyta, Magnoliopsida, Proteales, Proteaceae. The transcript has a single exon.